CUACGGGUCGCACCAGUGGGGAAUCUUAGACAAUGGGCGCAAGCCUGAUCUAGCCAUGCCGCGUGAGUGACGAAGGCCUUAGGGUCGUAAAGCUCUUUCGCUGGGGAAGAUAAUGACGGUACCCAGUAAAGAAACCCCGGCUAACUCCGUGCCAGCAGCCGCGGUAAUACGGAGGGGGUUAGCGUUGUUCGGAAUUACUGGGCGUAAAGCGCGCGUAGGCGGAUCAGAAAGUUGGGGGUGAAAUCCCGGGGCUCAACCCCGGAACUGCCUUCAAAACUCCUGGUCUUGAGUUCGAGAGAGGUGAGUGGAAUUCCGAGUGUAGAGGUGAAAUUCGUAGAUAUUCGGAGGAACACCAGUGGCGAAGGCGGCUCACUGGCUCGAUACUGACGCUGAGGUGCGAAAGCGUGGGGAGCAAACAGGAUUAGAUACCCCAGUAGUC
This 439-nucleotide ribosomal RNA is filed under the name uncultured bacterium. RNAcentral's name for it is "partial 16S ribosomal RNA". It matches the Rfam family "Bacterial small subunit ribosomal RNA", at positions 339 to 795 of the family's 1533-position model. The record is from RNAcentral.